RNAcentral lists this ribosomal RNA (723 nucleotides) under Triticum aestivum (bread wheat). RNAcentral describes it as "partial small subunit ribosomal RNA". The record is from RNAcentral. Lineage: Eukaryota; Viridiplantae; Streptophyta; Magnoliopsida; Poales; Poaceae.
AUGGAUACACACCCAUCUAUUGUAUGUUGGAACAUGCGAGGGUUGAACAAUCCGGCGAAAAGGAAGGCGGUUAAGGAGUUCCUAGAUACCACUAAAGCUAGCUUAGUUUGUCUUCAAGAAACCAAGAUGGAUGUAAUAGAUUCCUUUGUAGUAAUGCAACGCAUGGGGCCGUCGUUUGACGGAUUUGCGUACUUGCCGGCGAUGGAGACUCAUGGUGGCAUUCUUUUAGCAUGGAACUCUUCGGUGAUUGACGUGCAAAACCUACAAAUGGACAUGAUCUCACUCACUGGUAUGGUUUGCCCAAGGGUGGGAGUGGCGUGGUGGGUUACUGUUGUGUAUGGACCACAAGGAGAUGCUAGAAAAACUAGCUUUCUCGCAGAGUUGGCGCAGAGAAGGAUGUUUUGCCUAGGGCCGUGGAUGGUGCUUGGCAAUUUUAACAUGAUCUUGAGAGCUUCGGAGAAGAAUAAGGCGAACAUCAACAGGAACAUGAUGAACAGGUUCCGACAGUUUGUGGACGAUCAGGAGCUUAAGGAGUUGUACAUGCACGAACGCUUAUUCACGUGGAUGAAUGAAAGGGCCAGCCCGACAUUAACUAAAAUCAACAGAGUACUCGUAACAGUCGACUGGGAGUUGGAAUACCCGGACUGCUUACUUCAAGCGCUGUCCACUGGCAUCUCCGAUCAUGCACCUCUCUUUCUAACAACAUGUGCGCCUUUUGCCUAG